CUCCAUUAUUAUUAUUAGUGACUGUCUGGUUAAAAGCCACUAGAAGUUGAUGUAAACAUUGCAGUUUCUCUGAAACCACAAUGUUUUACAUUGCAGGGUUUAGGGAACAGGGACACGGUACCCAGUUCACUUUAGUGAAGUGGCCUGGGUGCCAAUACUGUUAAUUUAAAAGGGAAAGAAUAUCAUUUGGUUUACAUAUAUUUAGGAACACUGGUUCUAAGAAAAUGGUUUUAGAUCUUGAAGAAUAGGCAUCCCUUUGCUCUAAAGGGGGGAAACCUUGCACUAAUACUAUUCCGGGGACUGGGCAUUGCUCAAAAUGGCUU
Non-coding RNA from Pelobates cultripes (western spadefoot toad), 323 nucleotides. NCBI's taxonomy places the organism in Eukaryota, Metazoa, Chordata, Amphibia, Anura, Pelobatidae. The record is from the annotation of a GenBank genome assembly.